UUUAAGCAUAUAAUUAAGCGGAGGAAAAGAAACUAACUAGGAUUCCCUCAGUAACGGCGAGUGAAGCGGGACUAGCUCAGGAUGUGAAUCUGCGCUUUUAUGGCGCCGAAUUGUGGUCUGUAGACCUUGACGUUAUUUGCCGGGCCAAGUUCCUUGGAAAAGGACAGCUGAGAGGGUGAGACUCCCGUCCGCCUGGCAGAGUGAGUCAUGUGUCAACGAGUCGAGUUGUUUGGGAUUGCAGCUCUAAUUUGGUGGUAAAUUCCAUCUAAAGCUAAAUAUUGGUGGGAGACCGAUAGCGUACAAGUACCGUGAGGGAAAGAUGCAAAGAACUUUGAAAAGAGAGUUAAAGAGUACCUGAAAUUGCUGAAACGGAAGCGAAGGAAACCAGUGUUUGUUGGUUCAUAUUUCCCUAGCCACUUGUGGUUUGGGCGCUGUGAGCUUGCGUGAGUUUGGGUUGGUUGAUCCCUUUGGAAGAGCGCAGACAGAGUUGAUGUUUGUUGCUAGCACUGGGUUUGACUGAUGCAGACGAAAUGGUUUUCUUUACCCCGUCUUGAAACACGGACCAAGGAGUCUAACAUAUGUGCGAGUACAGGGGUGUCAAACCUCCGUGCGUAAUGAAAGUGACAGUGGUUGGAUUAAUUUGCACAAUCCGCCGGCCUCAAUCCUUCGGGAGAACGGUCUGAGUGUGAGCAUACAUGUUGGGACCCGAAAGAUGGUGAACUAUGCCUGAAUAGGGUGAAGCCAGGGGAAACUCUGGUGGAGGCUCGUAGCGAUUCUGACGUGCAAAUCGAUCGUCAAAUUUGGGUAUAGGGGCGAAAGACUAAUCGAACC
RNAcentral lists this ribosomal RNA (831 nucleotides) under Neodenticula seminae. RNAcentral describes it as "LSU rRNA". It matches the Rfam family "Eukaryotic large subunit ribosomal RNA", at positions 33 to 941 of the family's 3401-position model. Lineage: Eukaryota; Bacillariophyta; Bacillariophyceae; Bacillariales; Bacillariaceae. The record is from RNAcentral.